CGAACGCUGGCGGCGUGCUUAACACAUGCAAGUCGAACGGAAAGGCCCUGCUUUUGUGGGGUGCUCGAGUGGCGAACGGGUGAGUAACACGUGAGUAACCUGCCCUUGACUUUGGGAUAACUUCAGGAAACUGGGGCUAAUACCGGAUAGGAGCUCCUGCUGCAUGGUGGGGGCUGGAAAGUUUCGGCGGUUGGGGAUGGACUCGCGGCUUAUCAGCUUGUUGGUGGGGUAGUGGCUUACCAAGGCUUUGACGGGUAGCCGGCCUGAGAGGGUGACCGGCCACAUUGGGACUGAGAUACGGCCCAGACUCCUACGGGAGGCAGCAGUGGGGAAUAUUGCACAAUGGGCGGAAGCCUGAUGCAGCGACGCCGCGUGCGGGAUGACGGCCUUCGGGUUGUAAACCGCUUUCGCCUGUGACGAAGCGUGAGUGACGGUAAUGGGUAAAGAAGCACCGGCUAACUACGUG
RNAcentral lists this ribosomal RNA (466 nucleotides) under uncultured bacterium. RNAcentral's name for it is "partial 16S ribosomal RNA". It matches the Rfam family "Bacterial small subunit ribosomal RNA", at positions 30 to 507 of the family's 1533-position model. The record is from RNAcentral.